GGUCCCGUAGCUCAGCUGGAUAGAGCACAGGAUUCCUAAUCCCGGGGUCGUGGGUUCAGAAUCCCGCCGGGGUCACCA
This 78-nucleotide transfer RNA is filed under the name Devosia sp. A8/3-2. Its description in RNAcentral is "tRNA-Arg". It matches the Rfam family "tRNA". Rfam says of the family: Transfer RNA (tRNA) molecules are approximately 80 nucleotides in length. Their secondary structure includes four short double-helical elements and three loops (D, anti-codon, and T loops). Lineage: Bacteria; Pseudomonadati; Pseudomonadota; Alphaproteobacteria; Hyphomicrobiales; Devosiaceae. The record is from RNAcentral.